UACGUAGGGUGCAAGCGUUGCCCGGAAUUAUUGGGCGUAAAGAGCUCGUAGGCGGUUUGUCGCGUCUGCCGUGAAAGUCCGGGGCUCAACUCCGGAUCUGCGGUGGGUACGGGCAGACUAGAGUGAUGUAGGGGAGACUGGAAUUCCUGGUGUAGCGGUGAAAUGCGCAGAUAUCAGGAGGAACACCGAUGGCGAAGGCAGGUCUCUGGGCAUUAACUGACGCUGAGGAGCGAAAGCAUGGGGAGCGAACAGG
This 253-nucleotide ribosomal RNA is filed under the name uncultured bacterium. RNAcentral describes it as "partial 16S ribosomal RNA". It matches the Rfam family "Bacterial small subunit ribosomal RNA", at positions 524 to 776 of the family's 1533-position model. The record is from RNAcentral.